CAAAAAAUGCUCUUGGUGAAGAGAGAGUUUGUGCCAUUAAGUGGUUUAUCAUCAGCAAUUUUAGGAUCUUUGAAAAUGUAAUACAUGUUUUGAAAUGAGUGCCCUGUCCAGAUAACCACUUCUUCCUCUUGGUUCUUUUAACUGCUGCUAGAAUCUGAAAGGUUCAUGCUCCUUUCAUACAGAGAUGUCUGACUUUCUUCUGUGAAUUAUCACAUGAGAGCAUGCACAGAAAAUAUGUCCGGGGAUAGGGACAGUGUGGGAAUGCGGCUGAGGUUGGUUGGACAAUGGGACUGAGAGAUCGUCAUGAGCUGUGAGAUACUAAUUUUUAAAAGAACAUACAGAAAUUAUGCCCCUAAGGGAGUAAUGUCUCAGUAAUAUCAAAUCUUUAUCCUUUGGAGAUAAAUUUGAUUUUUGGAAAAAUCCAAAAGUCAUCUGGAAUGUAGUAUUAUUAUAAAGUUGGUUUAAGGGAACAAUUUUUCUUAUGUGGUUCACAAACUGAUUCUAAGAAGGCAAUUUCAAAAGAUGAACUCUAGAAAAAUUUUAAACAAUGGCGGCAUCAUGAGACUAAGCAAGUCAUCUUUCGAGAAGAAUUAUUUGUUGGAAGUAUAAAUUUGGUCUUAUUUGUGUUUUGGAGUCAGGUGGAUCAGGGCUUUAGAUCUGGCUUCAUGUAUUUCCAGAUCUAUGACUUGGGUUACUGAACCAGGUGAAGCCUCAGUUCAUUUCCUAACCUGUAAGAUGAAGAUAAUUCUAGUAUCUAUCUUGUGGCAUUGUGAAGAUUAAAAAAUGAUAGUGUAUGUAAAGUGCUCUGCCCAGUGCCUAGCAUAUAGUAAAUGCUCAAUAAAAGUGAUGCUAACUCAUAC
RNAcentral lists this long non-coding RNA (860 nucleotides) under Homo sapiens (human). RNAcentral describes it as "non-protein coding lnc-PRKD1-11:1". The record is from RNAcentral. Lineage: Eukaryota; Metazoa; Chordata; Mammalia; Primates; Hominidae.